CCUACGGGAGGCAGCAGUGAGGAAUAUUGGUCAAUGGGCGCGAGCCUGAACCAGCGAAGUAGCGUGAAGGAUGACUUACCUACGUGUUGUAAACUUCUUUUAUAAAGGAAUAAAGUGAGGCACGUGUGCCUUUUUGUCUGUACUUUAUGAAUAAGGAUCGGCUAACUACGUGCCAGCAGCAGCGGUAAUACGGAGGAUCCGAGCGUUAUCCGGAUGUAGUGGGUUUAAAGGGAGCGUAGAUGGGUUGUUAAGUCAGUUGUGAAAGUGUGGGGCUCAACCGUAAAAUUGCAAUUGAUACUGGGAGGCUUGAGUACAGUUGAGGUAGGUGGAAUUCGUGGUGUAGCGGUGAAAUGCUUAGAUAUCACGAAGAACUCCGAUUGCGAAGGCAGCUUACUAAACUGCCACUGACGUUGAUGCUCGAAAGUGUGGGGAUCAAACAGGAUUAGAUACCCGUGUAGUC
This 460-nucleotide ribosomal RNA is filed under the name uncultured bacterium. Its description in RNAcentral is "partial 16S ribosomal RNA". It matches the Rfam family "Bacterial small subunit ribosomal RNA", at positions 338 to 795 of the family's 1533-position model. The record is from RNAcentral.